AUAGAAAAGUUAAGAAGGGCACUGAAAAUCCUUGUGUCGGCAGUUCAAUUCUGCCUCUGGCCACCA
Molecule: transfer RNA, 66 nt
Filed under: Pseudomonadota bacterium
Lineage: Bacteria; Pseudomonadati; Pseudomonadota
Description: Proteobacteria bacterium (activated sludge metagenome) tRNA-OTHER
Source: RNAcentral